Molecule: ribosomal RNA, 878 nt
Filed under: Leptosphaeria rusci
Lineage: Eukaryota; Fungi; Ascomycota; Dothideomycetes; Pleosporales; Leptosphaeriaceae
Description: LSU rRNA
Rfam family: Eukaryotic large subunit ribosomal RNA
Source: RNAcentral
UAAGCAUAUCAAUAAGCGGAGGAAAAGAAACCAACAGGGAUUGCCCUAGUAACGGCGAGUGAAGCGGCAAUAGCUCAAAUUUGAAAUCUGGCUCUUUUAGAGUCCGAGUUGUAAUUUGCAGAGGGCGCUUUGGCAUUGGCAGCGGUCCAAGUUCCUUGGAACAGGACGUCACAGAGGGUGAGAAUCCCGUACGUGGUCGCUAGCCUUUGCCGUGUAAAGCCCCUUCGACGAGUCGAGUUGUUUGGGAAUGCAGCUCUAAAUGGGAGGUAAAUUUCUUCUAAAGCUAAAUACUGGCCAGAGACCGAUAGCGCACAAGUAGAGUGAUCGAAAGAUGAAAAGCACUUUGGAAAGAGAGUCAAAUAGCACGUGAAAUUGUUGAAAGGGAAGCGCUUGCAGCCAGACUUGCCUGUAGUUGCUUAUCUGGACUUUUGUCCAGUGCACUCUUCUGCGGGCAGGCCAGCAUCAGUUUGGGCGGUUGGAUAAAGGUCUCUGUCAUGUACCUCUCUUCGGGGAGGCCUUAUAGGGGAGACGACAUGCAACCAGCCUGGACUGAGGUCCGCGCAUCUGCUAGGAUGCUGGCGUAAUGGCUGUAAGCGGCCCGUCUUGAAACACGGACCAAGGAGUCUAACAUCUAUGCGAGUGUUUGGGUGUCAAGCCCAGACGCGUAAUGAAAGUGAACGGAGGUGGGAACCCUUUGGGUGCACCAUCGACCGAUCCUGAUGUCUUCGGAAGGAUUUGAGUAAGAGCAUGGCUGUUGGGACCCGAAAGAUGGUGAACUAUGCUUGAAUAGGGUGAAGCCAGAGGAAACUCUGGUGGAGGCUCGCAGCGGUUCUGACGUGCAAAUCGAUCGUCAAAUUUGGGCAUAGGGGCGAAAGACU